CGCACGAAGGUUUCGGCCUUAGUGGCGGACGGGUGAGUAACGCGUAGGAAUCUAUCCGUGGGUGGGGGAUAACUCUGGGAAACUGGAGCUAAUACCGCAUGACACCUGAGGGUCAAAGGCGCAAGUCGCCUGCGGAGGAGCCUGCGUUUGAUUAGCUUGUUGGUGGGGUAAUGGCCUACCAAGGCGAUGAUCAAUAGCUGGUCUGAGAGGAUGAUCAGCCACACUGGGACUGAGACACGGCCCAGACUCCUACGGGAGGCAGCAGUGGGGAAUAUUGGACAAUGGGGGCAACCCUGAUCCAGCAAUGCCGCGUGUGUGAAGAAGGUUUUCGGAUUGUAAAGCACUUUCGGCGGGGACGAUGAUGACGGUACCCGCAGAAGAAGCCCCGGCUAACUUCGUGCCAGCAGCCGCGGUAAUACGAAGGGGGCUAGCGUUGCUCGGAAUGACUGGGCGUAAAGGGCGUGUAGGCGGUUUGUACAGUCAGAUGUGAAAUCCCCGGGCUUAACCUGGGAGCUGCAUUUGAGACGUGCAGACUAGAGUGUGAGAGAGGGUUGUGGAAUUCCCAGUGUAGAGGUGAAAUUCGUAGAUAUUGGGAAGAACACCGGUGGCGAAGGCGGCAACCUGGCUCAUUACUGACGCUGA
Molecule: ribosomal RNA, 642 nt
Filed under: Acetobacter indonesiensis
Lineage: Bacteria; Pseudomonadati; Pseudomonadota; Alphaproteobacteria; Acetobacterales; Acetobacteraceae
Description: bacterial SSU rRNA
Rfam family: Bacterial small subunit ribosomal RNA
Source: RNAcentral